This is a long non-coding RNA of Gopherus evgoodei (Goodes thornscrub tortoise), 5238 nucleotides long. RefSeq lists it as uncharacterized. The transcript is spliced from 4 exons. NCBI's taxonomy places the organism in Eukaryota, Metazoa, Chordata, Testudines, Testudinidae. The record is from RefSeq and is a predicted model, not a curated record.
CUAGCGGACGCCUGCUGUUCCCGCGCACGCGCCUUCCCAACACCCACUGGCGCUGCGUCCGCCCCUCCCUGGGAUUCGACUCUAGGAAGCUCAUAAUUUGGCAGCGCUGCGGCACAUGCGCUGUUCUCCUUCGGUUCCCCUAAGCUACAAUGGCUCACUAUUUAGCAGCGGGUGCCGUUGUCGCAGUGCCAUUUGAACAGCCGGUAUGGAAAGAGGGGCAGUUCGGAGCGGAUCUCUUACUCCCAGCCAGCUGGUACUUUUGCACUGGAACACAGCAACUGCUUAUCAGAGACUACAUGGACUGUAAGUAACAAUAAAUGCUGUUAACUCUGCCAGCACCUACAAAACAGAGGAGCUCAAAAUAUUGUCAAAAGUCCUCCAAUUUAUUCAAACCUGCUUCUCUCCACAAACAAAAAUUAAUCUUCAAUGUUAUCACAGCAAUUGAUUUCAGUGGAGAAGUGGAAUUGGGUGGAGAAGAAUCUGAAGGGCUUUUAUCACUGCUGUUUUCCCCCUCUGCAGGUAGAGAAGGAUAACUGGACAAAGGACUUGGAAAUAGAGAAUGAUUUAGCCAGUAUAAAAGGAGGUAGGAAGACCUGAAUAAACAAAAAGAGAAAGGGGGUUUAAACAGCCAUUAAUCUGGAUUAAAAAAGGACAAGCUACAGAAGAGGGUAAGGGAAGAAACAAUGAAGAAUGAGAUGAGAAGGGAGUAGGGGACAAUGAAGAGAGAGGAUCUAGGAAAGGAGUAAUGAUUAUUUAAAAUUUCAUCUAGGUUGAGGAGGAGGAGAGAGUGGAGAGAACUAAGGGAAAAGAAAGAUGAAAUCUGACUAGUCACCUUGCAGGGAAAGAGAACAGGACCAAAAAAGGGAUAAAGGACAAGAGGAUGAAAAGAAGGCAAGGUUUCCAAAACCUACUGAGUUUGGUUUUAGACUCCUAAAGUGAUGGUGUCAAGGUACAUAGCUAUGCAAAGAGCACAACUUAGUUAGGUUCCACUUUCUUUGUCACUAAUGGAGAAAGCUUCAUGUAUGUAAAUGUACAUUCUUUAACUGAGAAUAAAAAAAUGAAAGUUCAUAUUAUUAAUUUACACUUAUUUGUUCUUGUAAAAAUUAUAAUGAGCAUUAUAAAUUGCAGCAUCCAUCUUAAAGCAUUUUAAGAGGACUCUGAUUUUUUCACCCAUGUUCAGCUUAUCAGUUGCUUUUGCUUGUUUCGACUUCCUCAAGAACAAUGUUUUACAAUAGGUCUGGAAUGGCAUUGAGUUGUUGUAAUCAAAAGGUGGCAAUAUAACAUUCAGAUGUUUAGUUACGGUUUAUCGCCUACAUCAAAUGUAUCUUAAGGAAAGAAUACCUCUGUGCAGGACAGAAUGCUAUUCAUUAAUAGAGAACUUGAGAGGUUAAAUGACAUGCUAUGAUAUCCAAAAUAAUUAUAUUAAAAGAAUGUUAAGGUUGCAAAGUCAAACACUCCAAAGAUAGGAAAUGCCAGAAUCAAAUUUUGCCAGGCAACUUUAAUUUGGCCCCGAUGCACAUGUACACUUUAAUCUUUAAUUACAUGAUCACAUACUAUUUUUUUCCCCCCACAGGUACCAUGUCUCUUUCAGUGAAUGGGCAGCUAUUUAAUAUUUCUUUUUAUCCUCCACAUUGAAUGUGUGCCUCUAGGCUUUAUUUAACACACACCAUGCAUACUUUUCAGUGGAUAAAAAAAUAAUAAUUUCUUCAUGGGCAUUUGCUUGGUGCUCAGGCCAUAGUAGCUGAAUGCUUCACAAACAUUAAUGAGUUUAUUUACUCAUUUGAGAUUAUGUAAUAGUACUAUCCCCAAUUGACAGCUGGGAAACUGAAGCGCAGAGAGAGAUUAAGGUCAAAAACUGUUAAAUGUGUACACUAAUAUUGGGUAGCCAGCCUGAAACAUCUAGGGCCUUAUUUUGCAGAGGACUUAAUAUUUCCAUAGUACUUUUUGUUCAAAACAUGGCUCCAGUUGGUACCAGUUGCAGUUGUGAGCAUUCAGAAUUUUUUGCAACUCUAGACCAGGUGUAUCACAUUGUGUUCCUCAUUUUAUGGGUACCCACAGUUAGUGGUCACCUGUGACAAUUUUGGUUUGUGAUUUGCCCAGCAUCUUAUAGGAACCCUGUGGCACAGGCAGGGAUAGAAUACAGUUCUCUAGGGUGACAUUUGAGUUCCUUAACUAUGAGUCUGUCCCCUCUCUUCCCUGCCUUAUUCAUACAACAGCCGCACUGACCACAGAAUCCUGAUUCAUUCUGAGAUGAACCUCCAUCCUGUGCACCAAAUGAGGAAGGGGUCUUAUGGGAAAAAAUAGUAUGGGGUCAUGUAAUGAAAGACUAUCAUAAUGUGCAUAUAUAUAUUGUAUAUAAGGAGGCUGAAGUAAGUUUUCACAGGGAACCUUAUUUCUGAAAUUUCCUAACAUUUGAGCACUUGACUUCACAACCUUAGUGUUCUUUUAAUGUCAUGUUUCUAAUGUAGCUUCCUAAUUUAAAAAAAGUAACAAACUAAAAAAAAAAAACAACAGAAAUUCCAUCAUGUGAAACUAUAUUCACCAGUUUGGGUCAUCAGUAGGGUUUAGACCUUUAGAUUCACAGCUCAGACUUCUGCUAUUUGUGCUAAUGGACUAAAUGGUAGCUGUAUUAGGCUGUUAUCUCACAAGUCAGGUGGACCAUUCAUUAGAAGAUGAGACAGAUAUUUUGCUGAUGGGCUUCACAGGUAUUUGCUGACAGCAGAGGAAUGUAGAGACUAAGGUCCCCCAGACUCAAUUCCAGGUUCUGUAGGGGAAGCAUGCUUUAGUGAUUAAAGGCUGUUGUUCCCCUAGCCUGUAUUCAUCCCUCUCUGCUGCUAGCCAAACUCCAGCCCCCACUGGCUCCUCCUCCCUCCUCCUGUCCUACCCAUACUGUGGCAUUCCACCUCUUCCUUCCUUCCUUCCUUGCUUCUCUGCAUUCCAGUGUAGUUGUCACCUCCUUCUCCACACUUCCUGGUUGCCAGCACAGGAGAACACAGAGAAAAGGAACACUGCUGUCAAUUUCAGUGCUUGGCACUACAGUGGGCCCUCAGCUGCUGGAAGAUACAAUUUCAAGUAGGUGGAGGUAACGGACUCAGCUAUUGGGAGUGCAGGUGAGAGGAGAAAGCAGAAGUGCAUUGCUGUCAAAUGGCUAACUUUGAUGGAAGUUAGUCCUUCAUAGGAUUGCUUUUUGCUGUCAACCGAUGCUGCCACAGUCUGACCCCUACUCCAAGGCUGAGGCAAGCCCCCAUCAAAGAAUCCUGCUCCUCUGUGGGGAUGGUUUAAAGGAGAAAACACAAAAUGAAGUUUGCUGUUGGUUUCUAGGAAGACUUCACACCUUGUCUCCAUACAAAAGCCUUUCUUUGUAGUCCCCAAAACUUUGUACUGUGACUAAAUACAUCAGUACACUUACUUAUGGAAAUCUUCUCUCAGCUUAUCUUCACGGACCUUGCCCUCUUAGCUAACCAACACAUUUCUCUAGGCACCACUCUCCAGUGAUUGAAUGCCUCCUACUAAAAUGUGGUUGGACAGAGCUCGUUAUCCGUAAUACUGGCAGAACUGUCCCUGUGAUGUAUCUAAUGUGAGACGCUGUGUUUUGUACAGUGCUUAGCACAAUUGGGUUCUGAUCUAUGACUAAGACUCCUUGGCACUAAGGGAAAACAAGUAAGACAUAAUAAUGUUUUCCCCUGCAUAGGUGAGUUGAUAUUAAAUUAUGUAUAUUUAUUUACAUUGCAUGUGGAAAACAGACUGAGUUUGUUUUUUAAAUGACCACUCUGAACCAAGUACAAUGCCUGCAAAUCUCUAUGGAAACACAUUAUUCAUGUAGAAAUACCUAAAAUAGAAUGAGAAGAAUAAAAAGACUAAAGGGUUUCAUACAUGCAGUUAUACUCUUAAAGUGAAGAGACAAACAUCACAGACAAAAUGGAGAAAACAGGAAAAGGAUGUUUAUUUUCUUAAUUAUGAGAGGUUUAAUACAGAUUGAUUUCACUUUCCUUUAAAAUAUUUAUAACCUUUGUUACAGAUGAGAUAUUAAUCUGUGUGAUGUACUUAUCUCUGUCAUGCCUAUUUUAAAUGCAUCCCUUGCCUUAUUUCUUGUUUGAAUCAUAUAUUUAUUAGUUUGCAUACUCUAAAUCCAGGCACAAAACUGUUCCAUAUGAAUGUACCUGUUUCAAGCAUAUAUCCCCAUCCCAGUUGCUGCUGUGAGAUGCUCAGUACUCCCUAUCACCAGGAAUACUGAUUCCAGUUUGAAGUUGGACUCUCAAUCUUGCCUUCCCUGGGAACUGUUGGGUCUUUUGCUUUAUAUCUUUCCUUUGCAUGCUGUUUUGAAGAUCUCAUCUGCAUCCUUUAUUUUGUGGAAAUAAAUAGGAAUUCUUCAAAAAUACUCUACUGUUCUGCAGAGCCAUAUGGGAUAACUACAUUUGGUAGCAGUUCCCAGUCUCAUAUUUCUUGGAUCAGCAAUUCAUUUACACCUUCUGAGGAGGAAGUACUUUGCAUCACAUCACUCUUAAGUGUCAACACAGAGAGUCCAAAGGGAGUUCCAUCUAGUAUCCCAGUAGCAUGGUGGUGAGGAAGCCUUUUGAUAGAACAAUGGGAACCAACACAUAACUUAAUUUGUUUAACUCUCAAGCCACUGGGUGGCUGAAAAGCUAACCUGAUCUUCAGCUAGGAAAAACUUCCAUUAAAAAAAUCAAACCAGAUUAUUUUUUUAGGCAUCUCACAACCACUUAAUUCAGCUGCUUUGCUUUGCAGUAUAUGCAAAAGAAAUUUGGUAAAUUAGAGACCAUUCCAUUCUCCGCACUCUGUCUUGUAUGCCAAUGUUUUUUUCUUUCUUUCACUGCCGCUCUUCUUAAAGGUAUAGAAUUUUGCCAGCUCUGGCAGUGGGAAGGGCUCUGAAAUAAACACCAGUGAAAUUCAGAAGAUAAAACGAAAAAUGGAAUGAGUAUGAUGUAUUGGAACUGUCAGGAAUGGAAGCAGUGAGUGCACAGCUGAGUGCACACUUUACUGUUACUAGAGGGUUAGGUAACUGGUGACAACAGCAGUCCAUCAUCCUAAAUACCUAACAUAGACCUUGUUUACAGAUGGCACAGCUGCAAGAUUGUAAGCUUUUGAGGGCAAGACUUCCUUUUUGUUGUGUUCAUAUAUGGCCUAGCACAAUGGGGUUCUAUUCCACAACUGGGGCUGUAAAUACAAGAAGUCACUUAAAAGAGAAAGGGUUAAAGGGUCAAUCUCUUGGGAACAAAA